UGGGGAAUUUUGGACAAUGGGCGAAAGCCUGAUCCAGCAAUGCCGCGUGUGUGAAGAAGGCCUUCGGGUUGUAAAGCACUUUUGUCCGGAAAGAAAUCCUUGGCUCUAAUACAGUCGGGGGAUGACGGUACCGGAAGAAUAAGCACCGGCUAACUACGUGCCAGCAGCCGCGGUAAUACGUAGGGUGCAAGCGUUAAUCGGAAUUACUGGGCGUAAAGCGUGCGCAGGCGGCUUUGCUAAGACCGAUGUGAAAUCCCCGGGCUCAACCUGGGAACUGCAUUGGUGACUGGCAGGCUAGAGUAUGGCAGAGGGGGGUAGAAUUCCACGUGUAGCAGUGAAAUGCGUAGAGAUGUGGAGGAAUACCGAUGGCGAAGGCAGCCCCCUGGGCCAAUACUGACGCUCAUGCACGAAAGCGUGGGGAGCAAACAGGAUUAGAUACCCUGGUAGUCCACGCCCUAAACGAUGUCAACUAGUUGUUGGGGAUUCAUUUCCUUAGUAACGUAGCUAACGCGUGAAGUUGACCGCCUGGGGAGUACGGUCGCAAGAUUAAAACUCAAAGGAAUUGACGGGGU
Molecule: ribosomal RNA, 572 nt
Filed under: uncultured bacterium
Lineage: Bacteria
Description: partial 16S ribosomal RNA
Rfam family: Bacterial small subunit ribosomal RNA
Source: RNAcentral